RNAcentral lists this transfer RNA (66 nucleotides) under Faecalispora sporosphaeroides. It matches the Rfam family "tRNA". Rfam says of the family: Transfer RNA (tRNA) molecules are approximately 80 nucleotides in length. Their secondary structure includes four short double-helical elements and three loops (D, anti-codon, and T loops). Further hydrogen bonds mediate the characteristic L-shaped molecular structure. tRNAs have two regions of fundamental functional importance: the anti-codon, which is responsible for specific mRNA codon recognition, and the 3' end, to which the tRNAs corresponding amino acid is attached (by aminoacyl-tRNA synthetases). tRNAs cope with the degeneracy of the genetic code in two manners: having more than one tRNA (with a specific anti-codon) for a particular amino acid; and 'wobble' base-pairing, i.e. permitting non-standard base-pairing at the 3rd anti-codon position. The record is from RNAcentral. RNAcentral also lists the same sequence under 5 other names. Lineage: Bacteria; Bacillati; Bacillota; Clostridia; Eubacteriales; Oscillospiraceae.
UCUGUAGCUCAGUUGGUAGAGCAGGGGACUGAAAAUCCCCGUGUCGAUGGUUCGAUUCCGUCCGGA